This is a long non-coding RNA of Cynara cardunculus var. scolymus (artichoke), 571 nucleotides long. RefSeq lists it as uncharacterized. NCBI's taxonomy places the organism in Eukaryota, Viridiplantae, Streptophyta, Magnoliopsida, Asterales, Asteraceae. The transcript has 2 exons. The record is from RefSeq and is a predicted model, not a curated record.
AGUAAAACUUGGACAUGGAGUUCAGAAUGGGGGAAGAAAACGAGUCCAUACUCAAAUGCCAUUGAUUCAUUCUCAUAGAAUUAUAGCAACAUAGAAAGACAACGAAGCUCUUCCUCGACUAUCUCUUACAUGUCUGGAACUUUUAUUUUGUUGGUAACUGUGGGUGUUUGGGCCAGUUUGCACGUAGCGUGACUAAUCCCAUGGGCCUUGAACAUAACAGCCAGAAAAAUCCCCACUGGGGUCGAGGAUACUCAAGGUCUGGCCUUUAUUUGCCAGUUAAGCCAGCUUGCAAUUCCCAAUUGGUUGUGGAAUGCCCUUGGUAAAAAGCCAGCUUCGUGUGAGCACUGAAAGAAAAUAUGGAAACUCUUCCUAACGAAGACCUUGAAUGCUUCAUCAAGCUAUAAAUCGAGCGAGAAUUAUGGAGAACAACUUUAUAGAAGACCAAAAACUGAGUGAAAUCUGAACAAUUUCGAGAUAAGAUUUCUUUUGUCAGCCUUCUCUUUUCUUCGUUUUUGUGCAUAUCAUUAGCUAUAACCUUUGCAUAUCUCAAUAUAAAAUUUAACCUGAAUCC